AAGUGGUCAUCAGCAAGUGUGGAGCCACAACAAGAUUCUCAGAGGGCGGAGCCAGAGACCAUAUGGUCAGACCAUAGAUAAUAUAGAAGACAGCACGCUACCGUAUCUACUCUAUGUGUAUCUAUGGUCGGCACGUCUGGUAGCAUCUUUGGCUGCUGUUGAUCUUGUUUUUGGAGUAAAACACGGUGGAAGCUGAAUUAGUGAGGAUGACUCCUGCUCCUGUCAUCUCUAAGCUCCUCACACAUCUUUACCUGCACAUGAGGAAAAUCACUCCUGUAGAAUGCAGAUGUUCAGAGGGAGAUGAUGCCACAUCUGGUCCAGCUGAUGGAAGGUCUUGAAGUUCUCUGACUGGCCUGGACUGAAGAUGGUCGUCUCACUGGAUUUAAGAUGCACAAUGAGGGACGUCUGCAGAGACUGAGAAAGAGUCUCACCACAUCCUGACAUGAGGAAAAAGACUUUAUUGAAGACUACAAUGAGAAAAACUAUCAGACAGCAGACGGCUGCAUUCAAGUCUGUAGCUGCUGAAUUCAUGGAUGAAUCAUCUGGCACUAGAGAAGAAGACCAUCAAACAUCUACGUCAGCUGAUGGAGGUCCAAGAGUCUCACCAAACAACCAACCUACAGAGUGAAGACCUCUAACCUGAUUGGACGGCCUCCUAUUCAGCCACAUGUGUGAACAAAUGCCUCUAAGCUGAUUUGUUUUCUAAAAUAAAUCUAGUUUGAGUCCUAAUCUAUGCCUGUGUUUGCUUCUUUACACCGCUGUUAACAGUUUAGGCUGUUAGAUUGUUCCAGAUAAGACAAGUACAAGAUUCUUCAGAGCC
This is a long non-coding RNA of Amphiprion ocellaris (clown anemonefish), 820 nucleotides long. Lineage: Eukaryota; Metazoa; Chordata; Actinopteri; Pomacentridae. The record is from Ensembl.